CUAUUUUAUUAACCCAAUCAAAGAAAGCCUAAGUACAAUUUAUAAAUAAAAAGAUAAUUAAAUUGAACAAAAAUUAAAAAAAAAUUGAAAAUUUUAAUUUAUCCUACUCCACCGCUACAGAUCCCCGUAAGUGAUACCGGAAAUCUACAAAGAAUCCCAGCCGUUGAUGUACCACCGUCAACCUCACUGGCCGGAGGCAGAACUCUCCCAUCGGCAAACAGCAUACGUCCAUUUACUCCAUUCCUCGGUUGAGCCACCAUCACACCUGCAAGCUCCACCGCAGCAUCACCGUAGAAAGCUCCAUCUCCAAACCUCCUUUCAACCUCUAGAAAUUCUCCAAGGGACGCCGGCUUUGCCUCUCCAGCACUACAAAGCCUCCACCAUCUUCGGCGCCGAAGGAGCUCCGCUGGAUCUCUUUUAUUCUUCUUUUUCUUGUUGUUGCGAUCAGUGCCUGUGGACGACGAAGCGGCGCCGGAGCCAGCAUUCGAGUUCGUGUCACGUGGCUGAGGGGACGCUCUGAAAGUAAUGGCAGUUAAAGUGACGCCCAUGAGAGUGCCUAAUGUGGUGCUUCUAUCAUGGAAGAAGGAGCCUGUGGACUGGGGACCCAGAGAAAAAUUAAAGAAGAAUUAAUCAUGAAGAAAUGGGUGUUGUGAGAAAGGGUGGAUGGAUACCUCAGUGUCGAGAUCGGAGGAGGAGACGGCAGAGCUGUUCGGAGAAAACGGCGGUGGAAGCAUGUCGUUGGUUGGAUCUGACAUCGCUCUCUCGCUGUGGAUGUGUAGUCUAGCAGUGUAGGGUAGCCAAGCGAGUAGCAAGCUUAUACUUUUGCCAAGUAUUGGGGGGUACGAGACGAGAAGAGAAUGGAGAGAGUCGCAGAGAGAGACAACGAAGGUGAGGGUCAUGAUUUCAUUGAUUUGUCG
RNAcentral lists this unclassified non-coding RNA (917 nucleotides) under Hevea brasiliensis (rubber tree). Lineage: Eukaryota; Viridiplantae; Streptophyta; Magnoliopsida; Malpighiales; Euphorbiaceae. The record is from RNAcentral.